GUCAAUUUCACGGUUUCCGAUGUUUACAUCUGAAAUUUCAUGGUGUUUAACCAUGGGGGUCCCGACCCAAAAGAGGAUCGUGAGGGUGCUGACAGUGGAGU
This is a long non-coding RNA of Gopherus evgoodei (Goodes thornscrub tortoise), 101 nucleotides long. RefSeq lists it as uncharacterized. NCBI's taxonomy places the organism in Eukaryota, Metazoa, Chordata, Testudines, Testudinidae. The record is from RefSeq and is a predicted model, not a curated record. The transcript is spliced from 3 exons.